This 522-nucleotide ribosomal RNA is filed under the name uncultured bacterium. RNAcentral describes it as "bacterial SSU rRNA". It matches the Rfam family "Bacterial small subunit ribosomal RNA", at positions 47 to 518 of the family's 1533-position model. The record is from RNAcentral.
CCUAAGACAUGCAAGUCGAACGAGACGGCCCACUGACAUUAUUGAAACUCUGCGAGCUUGCUCAAAGAGCGGAUUAAAUUGACGUGGAUUUCCGUCUAGUGGCAAACGGGUGAGUAACACGUGGGUACCUGCCUCGAAGAUCGGGAUACCUAUUGGAAACGAUAGUUAAUACCGAAUGUGAUCUACGGAUUAAAGGGAGCCUUUAAAGCUUCGCUUCGAGAUGGGCCUGCGGUGCAUUAGAUAGUUGGCGGUGUAAUGGACCACCAAGUCGACGAUGCAUAGCUGAACUGAGAGGUUGAUCGGCCACACUGGGACUGAUACACGGCCCAGACUCCUACGGGAGACAGCAGUUAGGAAUAUUCGUCAAUGGGGGAAACCCUGAACGAGCAAUGCCGCGUGAACGAUGACGGUCCUCUGGAUUGUAAAGUUCUGUUGUUUGGAAAUAAUGAUAGCUUUAGGAAAUGAUUGCUAUUUGAAGGUACCAUUCAAGAAAGCUCCGGCUAACUACGUGCCAGCCGCUGC